RNAcentral lists this long non-coding RNA (2077 nucleotides) under Homo sapiens (human). RNAcentral describes it as "HSALNT0332853". Lineage: Eukaryota; Metazoa; Chordata; Mammalia; Primates; Hominidae. The record is from RNAcentral.
GCCCUAGUAGUCGGUGGCUGGUCGGUGACUGGGACCAGACCGUCGCCUCCUCCCUUUUACAGCUUUAAGUCUGUGACCCGAGGCCUCUCUGUAUAUUCCCGUGGGGUUGGGCCUAGUUGUCCUGGGAGAAACUAGAUGGAUGAGGAGUAUUUCCGAGACAGGUCCCAGGGCCAGCGCAGCCUUUUCUGUUGCAGAACCGCGACUGUUGUUUUGGGAUCCAGGCCGGAGGGUUUGUUGCUUGUGUUCAUUCCAGUUAACCAUUAGUACUCGAGAAGGUGGUACAGAACGCAUCUAUCCCCUUAGAAGAAAAGAAAUUAAAAGCCAAACUAAACUGGGAUAUAUAUUAAUAUAGGAAACUACCACUGAGACAUAGGAAAGUGUAUUAAAAUAUAACUAGUGAGGUGCUAUGUAUAAUUCAGAGGAAGGGGAAAUUAUGCAUGGGCCAGACUACUAACAAAAGGCUCCAAAGCCUGGGAUACGCUGAGGGCCUUUCCAUAACAGAAAAUGAAAAGGAACCUAAAUUUGAGACUAGAUUUGAGGAAAGGCACAGUUGCGCUGGAGUAGAAAGCGUCUGUCUACCGCAGUGGAAAGUAAGUUUUCGUAAAUGCAGACUAGCUCCAGGGUGAGGACAGAAUCUAGCUUUUAAAUCAGUAUAAUCUCUCUUCUUUUACAUUUGAAAAUCUCUGCAGCGAUAUGUUAUUGUAUCCCCAGCACCAUACAAAGGACAUACAAGGGCCAAAUACUGUGGGAAUAUUUAUUAAUGAUAUUAAUGAUGAUGCUGUCCGGGCCAAAGGAAAACUUCCGCUUCACCUUCUGAAGUUUCGCUGAAAGUCACUGACAGGAGGCAGUUAAUAGGAGAAAAGACAUAGACAUUGAUUUGACCAUCGUUUUAUGUGACACGGGAGCCUUCAGAAUGAAGACCCAAAGAUAACAAGGGAAAUCGUGUAUUUGUAUGCUUAGGUUCAACAAAGCAUGGACAGCCGUAUAAAAAAAUGACUGGACAAGGCCGGGCGCGGUGGCUCACGCCUGUAAUCUCAGCACUUUGGGAGGCUGAGGCGGGCGGAUCACAAGGUCAGGAGAUCGAGACCAUCCUGGCUAACACAGUGAAACCCCGUCUCUACUAAAAAUACUAAAAAUUAGCCAGGCGUGGUGGCGGGCGCCUGUAGUCCCAGCUACUCAGGAGGCUGAGGCAGGAGAAUGGCGUGAACCCGGGAGGCGGAGCUUGCAGUGAGCCGAGAUUGCGUCACCGCACUCCAGCCUGGGCGACAGAGCGAGACUCCGUCUCAAAAAAAAUGACUGGACAAAAAACACUCUGAUGCAAACAGGCAAGAAACCCAGCAAGGCCUAUCUGGAUUCUCCUUGGCCUGUCUGCAGCAUUCAUUCCUUCUGGGUAUGGAACAGGACCCUCUGGAAUGGGGGCUGUGGCCUACAACAGUUAAACAAGUGAACUAAAGGGCUCCCAAAAUCUCUCCUGCAGCAUUUUCCUUGAGAAGGAGGAAGGUUUGCAUCUCUGUGAGAAGAAACAUCAGAAGCAGUUGAAAGACCAGGAUGUGGGUCCUCUGGGGCUGAGGAGGCAUUCUGAAUCAACUGUGUGUUCUACACCUGUGUUUUAACUGUGACCUGUCACAUGAGGACAAGUGUGGAAUUUCCCACUUUUGUGCCAUAAAUCUCUCUCUGGGAACAGUGUGGAAGAUGGAUUGAAAUGGUGUAAAAUUGAAGAUGUGGACUCCGGUUGGGAGACUACACCCUAGAUAAGAUGAAGAGAACUUGAAGCAAGACAAUAGCAAUGGGAAUAUAAAGGAGAGGAGACAUUUGAGUGAAAUUAAGGAAGCACAAUCUGCAGACUGUUUUCUUUUUUUUAAGAGUCAGGGUCUCCCUAUUUUGCCCAGGCUGGUCUCAAAGUCCUAGGCUCAAGCGACCCACCCACCUCAGCCUUCCAAAAUGCUGGAAUUACAGGGGUGAACUGCCUCACCAUGCCUCAGUCUGCAGAAUUUGAUGACUGAAUGUAUUUGGAGAGAGUCUGUGGCUUGGAUGACUGGAGACGGAGUUUCUCCAUUUUGGCCAGUUUGGUGUCGAC